This 700-nucleotide ribosomal RNA is filed under the name Enterobacter cloacae. RNAcentral describes it as "bacterial SSU rRNA". It matches the Rfam family "Bacterial small subunit ribosomal RNA", at positions 40 to 727 of the family's 1533-position model. The record is from RNAcentral. Lineage: Bacteria; Pseudomonadati; Pseudomonadota; Gammaproteobacteria; Enterobacterales; Enterobacteriaceae.
CGGCAUGCGCAGCUACACAUGCAGUCCGAACGGUAGCACAGAGAAGCUUGCUCUCGGGUGACGAGUGGCGGACGGGUGAGUAAUGUCUGGGAAACUGCCUGAUGGAGGGGGAUAACUACUGGAAACGGUAGCUAAUACCGCAUAACGUCGCAAGACCAAAGAGGGGGACCUUCGGGCCUCUUGCCAUCAGAUGUGCCCAGAUGGGAUUAGCUAGUAGGUGGGGUAACGGCUCACCUAGGCGACGAUCCCUAGCUGGUCUGAGAGGAUGACCAGCCACACUGGAACUGAGACACGGUCCAGACUCCUACGGGAGGCAGCAGUGGGGAAUAUUGCACAAUGGGCGCAAGCCUGAUGCAGCCAUGCCGCGUGUAUGAAGAAGGCCUUCGGGUUGUAAAGUACUUUCAGCGGGGAGGAAGGUGUUGUGGUUAAUAACCGCAGCAAUUGACGUUACCCGCAGAAGAAGCACCGGCUAACUCCGUGCCAGCAGCCGCGGUAAUACGGAGGGUGCAAGCGUUAAUCGGAAUUACUGGGCGUAAAGCGCACGCAGGCGGUCUGUCAAGUCGGAUGUGAAAUCCCCGGGCUCAACCUGGGAACUGCAUUCGAAACUGGCAGGCUGGAGUCUUGUAGAGGGGGGUAGAAUUCCAGGUGUAGCGGUGAAAUGCGUAGAGAUCUGGAGGAAUACCGGUGGCGAAGGCGGCCC